Long non-coding RNA from Notothenia coriiceps (black rockcod), 701 nucleotides. RefSeq lists it as uncharacterized. NCBI's taxonomy places the organism in Eukaryota, Metazoa, Chordata, Actinopteri, Perciformes, Nototheniidae. The record is from RefSeq and is a predicted model, not a curated record. The transcript is spliced from 2 exons.
AAUAGCUACUAACUUGAAUUUGUAUUCAAAUUCCCAGUUUGGGAACCACUGUAUUAAUGGUAUGUGGUUCAUGUUACAAACACUGCUCAUGUCAUUUAAACUGGUAUUUAAGAGCCCAAACCAAUGUCAUUUGAUGACACUUAAAUAAUCUAAAAGGAACUUUUAGCAUUUAUUAUUUUCAAUGUCCUCGCGAGACUUUGUGUUUACCUAGGGCUGCACAAUGUAUCAACAUUUACUUCAAUAUUUGCUAUUCUACAGACUUAAUAAAACAUGUUGUUUGAUACAGGUCAUGCUAAAAAAACAACUCUCUACUAAUGUGUAUACAUUUUUUGAUGAUGAAUAAUGUUUCAAAUGUGUUUAUCAUCCAAAAUUGCGAAUCCAUUGCAAUUUCAGUCAAAAUAAUCGCAAUAAGAUAUUUUUUCCAAAUUGUGCUAACCUAUUCAAUACUAUGAUUUGAGACCAACAGUUAUCAAUAUGUUACAUGACCUUUUAUCUCUUACUUUAUAUAAGUGAAUGAACUGGUUGCACUGAUCCCAUACAGCGACCAAAGGCUACGACCCCAAAGAACGAAGCUGUAUGUGGUCCUGUCAGUGGUGUUGUGCCUCCUUGCUUCCUCCCUGGUGGCCUUCUUCCUCUUCCCUCGCUCUGUGAUCGUGGUGGAUGAUGGGAUACACUCUGUGUCCGUACGCUUCGACAACUUC